UAAACUUAUUUGAGGGAUCCCUCAAUGGAAGCUCUAUGUAUAUAUAUAUAUAUAUACAGUCCCGUUCUCUUGGACCCCAUCUGAUCACCCACCCUUAGAUUUAAUCCAAGGGUUAAGAAAAAUUUGCUUUAAAAUAUCUUUUUUCUUUUACCUUUUAAAUUUCACUUAACAAAAAAACUAAAAACUAAAAACCCAAAAUCUGUUCUUCUUCCUCUCGCUGCCCCCACGUUCUACUUCCUCCCAUUGUUGCAGCAACAACAACUCCGACUCCGGCGUAGCCAGCGAAAAUCCAGAGCGACUUAUUCCCUCGCACUUCAACAAGAGUCUGUUGGAAGAGUUCCUGGGACUGCAGCAUCUUUCAUGUUUUCAGGGAGGUUAACUUUGCUGCUGACUCUCUGGCCAAGAUGGGGCAUGAGAUGGAAAUGGGUAUUCACUGCUUUGUUUUGCCUCCUGGUGGUAUUGCCGGUGUUCUCCAAGAAGACAGGGAUGGCCUUUUAAGGUCUAGAUUGAUUUAUGUUUAGUUGUUGUCUGGGCUUAGCAAAAGUUGAGCUGCCGAAGCUCAUGCUAAGUGCAAAUGUGUUCAGUUUUGCUGUUAUGUACACCUUUGCCAUCAAUUGAUAAACAAGAAGCAUGGAGAAAGGCUUUGUUGGUUCACCUGUCAUUCCUUAUUUUGCAUUCGUUGUAUUACAUUUCUGUAGUUUUGGAGUUCGUUUGUUAUUGUUUGUACAUAAGAAUACUACAUUUAUAGGUGAAGAUUCUAGAGUUUUGUAUUGUUCUUGAAUGUAAAUUAUGUAACACUUCUUCAUUGAGAGUUUUGUACUGUUCUUGAAUGUUCUUAUUUGAUUUUAGUAAAAUAUAUUUUUCCACAUGAAAGUGGAAUACAUUGCCAAAAAAAAAGAGCACAAAUGUUCUAAUCUGAAUUGUCUAUGUAGCAAUUGUUCACACCAGAUGGUUCACCAACCAAACUCAAAUUCAUAUUUUUAAUUUGAUCAAUAAGUCCUUCGAAUGACUUUUCUACAAGUUGCGUCCCUUCUUCUGAUACUGCAGCGCCAUCAAUCAACUUUGAUGCAAGUUGAAACAAACUUGUGUGUCUCAAUAUUAGGGAGUUGUCUCAAACAAACUUGUGUAUAUAUAUGCGGGAUCCUUUUUCUUUUCUUUUUUAAAUAAUUUUUUUCCCUGCUUUUCGAUAGGAGUAGUUCUGCCUUUAUUUCUCUCUUUUCAGGACUUAAAUGACAGCCCAUCAUUUACACAAGCUCUCAAAAGCUGAUCCAACUGCAGUUUCCAUCGUUUAAAGCUUUAAUAUCAUCUUGCCAAUAUGUAGGAGAGUUUGUUCAAGUGCUUGAAUUUGGUGAAAGAAAUGAUGGUGAAUAAAGGGUACGAGUCCAUGUUAGAUACUUUGUCAUGCACAACGAGGAACCCCAAUAAUGAGCGUGCUGGACCGUCAGCUCACCAAAUCAGAUCAAACCGAGAACACAAUUAGCACCACAACAAUCGCCACCACGACCACAUAUACUUCUUCCACUAUGAUUGCCGAGAAAAGCGAUGGCAAGCGGCGCAGAUUAAAUGCUACUUGUGCAGUGAAAAUAGGUUCCAGCUCUCCCAUCAUUUUCAAAAGUGUUGAUUUGCUUAAGUGUUUACUUGUCUAUGCCUCAUAAUAGUUGUUCUCCUCUUCACUAACAAAGCUGGAUCUAAGUCACCAGAUAAGCAGUGUCCCAUUUUACUGCCCAGAAAACAAGGAAUGAAUUUUGAAAAAAUAGAGAGAUAAUUUAUUUUGUUUUAUGGGGUUUUGAAGUUGGGGAAGGGAAGGUCUGAAUGGAGUUUUGAAUGGUGUGUGUGUUGCUUUUGGCCUGUUCGGGUUCUUUGGUGGAGUUGGGUCUUGGGAUGUGGGAUGAUGCGUCUCUUGUUUGGUGGCAUCAAAAUGCUAAGAAAAGCAUCAAUGAUUUUAUAACUCAAGUAGUUAAGAGAAUUUAUCCCUACAUCCGAAGUCAUGUGUUCGAAUCCCUUCUCCCAGAGAGCUCAUAAUAGAUUA
Molecule: long non-coding RNA, 2029 nt
Organism: Prunus persica (peach)
Lineage: Eukaryota; Viridiplantae; Streptophyta; Magnoliopsida; Rosales; Rosaceae
Exons: 3
Source: RefSeq, a predicted model, not a curated record